RNAcentral lists this small RNA (93 nucleotides) under Citrobacter freundii. RNAcentral's name for it is "partial RtT sRNA". It matches the Rfam family "RtT RNA", at positions 1 to 91 of the family's 130-position model. Rfam says of the family: This family represents a bacterial cis-regulatory element known as RtT RNA. The exact function of RtT is unknown although it is thought that it may be involved in changing the cellular response in relation to amino acid starvation. The record is from RNAcentral. Lineage: Bacteria; Pseudomonadati; Pseudomonadota; Gammaproteobacteria; Enterobacterales; Enterobacteriaceae.
GUUUGCACUUGUCGGGGAAGGGUGAGAACCUUCGAUUAAGGUUCGACUCGAGCGAAAGCGAGAGAACGUUGCCAACGGCAACGGCCCGAAGGG